UUCUGCCCUAUGAUUUUUUAAAUGGCUGCAGUAUUUUGACUGUGCAAAGGUAGCAUAAUAAUUAGUCAUUUAAUUGUUGACUUGAAUGAAUGGAUAUAUGAGAGAUUAAUUUUAUUAAUUUUAUUAUUAAAAUUUUAUUUUUAAGUAAAAAAGCUUAAUUUUAAUUUUGGGACGAUAAGACCCUAAAGAACUUUAUUACUAUUAUUUAUUAAUAUUAAUUAGUAAAUUAAAUUAUAUUAAUUAUUUUAUUUUUUUUAUUGGGGUGAUAAAUAAAUUAAACUUUAUUUAAUUAAAUCAUUAAUUUAUGAUAAUUAUGAUCUGUUAUUUACAAUUAAAAGAAGAAGUUACCUUAGGGAUAACAGCGUAAUUUUAAUGGGGAGUUCAUAUCUAUAUUAAAGUUUGCGACCUCGAUGUUGAAUUAAGAUAAAUAUAGGGGGUAG
This 440-nucleotide ribosomal RNA is filed under the name Anatkina vespertinula. Its description in RNAcentral is "partial large subunit ribosomal RNA". Lineage: Eukaryota; Metazoa; Arthropoda; Insecta; Hemiptera; Cicadellidae. The record is from RNAcentral.